AAGUCGUAACAAGGUUUCCGUAGGUGAACCUGCGGAAGGAUCAUUAAUGAAAUAUAAACUUGGUAGGCUGUUGCUGGCUUUCUUAGCAUGUGCACGUUUAUCAUCUUUUUUAAUCCACCUGUGCACCUUUUGUAGGCCUUUGAUUUUUUGGGACUGCUGUUUUUAAACACAAAAUGUUUAUCAGCUUUCCCUUUUAUUUUUUCAAGCCUAUGUUUUUAUACACACCAGAAAUAUAUUGGAAUGCUGUAUGUUAGGUCAUUUGUGCCUACAAUAAACCAGUACAACUUUCAGCAACGGAUCUCUUGGCUCUCGCAUCGAUGAAGAACGCAGCGAAAUGCGAUAAGUAAUGUGAAUUGCAGAAUUCAGUGAAUCAUCGAAUCUUUGAACGCACCUUGCGCUCCUUGGUAUUCUGAGGAGCAUGCCUGUUUGAGUAUCGUGAAAUUGUCAACUGUGUCACUUUUAUAAGUGAUUUACAGAUUGGAUAUGGGAGUUUUUGCAGGCCUAGUUUGUCAGCUCUCCUGAAACACAUUAGCAGUGCCUUGCUGGUCCUUGGGUGUGAUAAUUUAUCUAUGCCUUGACGUGUACCUUCAUAAAGGUUGUGCUGCUUCCAAUAGUCUUUGGACACAUUUAUUGAAGAUUUGAUCUCAAAUCAGGCAGGACUACCCGCUGAACUUAAGCAUAUCAAUAAGCGGAGGAAAAGAAACUAACAAGGAUUCCCCUAGUAACUGCGAGUGAAGCGGGAAAAGCUCAAAUUUGUAAUCUGGCGGUCCUUGACCGUCCGAGUUGUAAUCUAGAGAAGUGCUACCUGUGCUGGACCGUGUACAAGUCUCCUGGAAUGGAGCAUCACAGAGGGUGAGAAUCCCGUCUUUGACACGGACUGCCUGUGCGUUGUGGUGCGCUCUCGAAGAGUCGAGUUGUUUGGGAAUGCAGCUCAAAAUGGGUGGUAAAUGCCAUCUAAAGCUAAAUAUUGGCGAGAGACCGAUAGCGAACAAGUACCGUGAGGGAAAGAUGAAAAGAACUUUGGAAAGAGAGUUAAACAGUACGUGAAAUUGCUGAAAGGGAAACGCUUGAAGUCAGUCGCGUCGGCUGGAAAUCAGCCUUGCUUUUGCUUGGUGUACUUUCUUGUUGAUGGGUCAGCAUCAAUUUCGACCGUCGGAUAAAGUCGUCGGGAAUGUGGCAUCUUUGGAUGUGUUAUAGCCUGGCGUCGCAUACGGUGGUUGGGAUUGAGGAACUCAGCACGCCGCAAGGCCGGGUCUCUUGACCACGUCCGUGCUUAGGAUGCUGGCAUAAUGGCUUUAAUCGACC
This 1305-nucleotide ribosomal RNA is filed under the name uncultured fungus. Its description in RNAcentral is "eukaryotic LSU rRNA". The stretch from base 640 to 1305 matches the Rfam family "Eukaryotic large subunit ribosomal RNA", at positions 1 to 649 of the family's 3401-position model. The record is from RNAcentral. Lineage: Eukaryota; Fungi.